Molecule: long non-coding RNA, 933 nt
Filed under: Chinchilla lanigera (long-tailed chinchilla)
Lineage: Eukaryota; Metazoa; Chordata; Mammalia; Rodentia; Chinchillidae
Description: lncRNA (ENSCLAG00000027755.1)
Source: RNAcentral
UCCUGUGAGGAUGGAUUGAUAUCAAAGUCCCAACCCUCUAAUCACAUGGUUUGUCUUUCUAGCACGGCCGGAUUCCAUCCAGAAGUAAUCUGGGAACCCAUGUGAGUCUCAUUAGCACAAACACAGAUGGAGUCCCAGAGGUCCCUCUCUUCAUGUGAAGCUGGUGGCUCCCAGACUGGCCCACCACCAUCUGACUGCAUUCUCCAUGGCUCUUAAAUCAAUGUCGAGAAGGAGAGGCUCUGGUGAUCUAGACCUCAGGAGGAGCUGAGAUGCCUAACAACCAUCUAAUCAGUUCUGGACCCAAGGAAGGAACCUUUGUAGGCAUCAGGGAAGGUGGACAGAAACAUUCAAGAGGAGAAAGUACAUGUACUCUGCUGGUUUAGAAUGAGACAUGGAGCACAGCAAUUCAUGAGAAAAAGUUAGGCUGUCUCACAAAUUGUGGUCUGGACACUCAUUUCACUCUCUGUAACAACAGGAUCUUUUUGUGUCUUCCUCCUGGCAUCACCAUUCUUCACCUGAGUUGGGACCUACUUCACAAGAAUUAAAUUCACAGUAACAUCUGUUUGCUAUGGUUUGGAGCUAAAAUAUUCCCUAAAGUCCCAUGUGUUAAAUAAAGGCUUGGCCCUCAGAGAGGUGCUAUUGGAAGGAGAUAGAUCUUCUAAGAGGCAGAGCCUACUGGGAGGUCCUGAGGUCCUCAGCGGACCUGUCUCUGAAGGCGACUGUGAUUCCCCAGGCUCCCCCACUCUCUUUGCUCCCUGGCCAUGAGGUGAGUAAUUUUGCUCCGCCUUGCAUUCAUUCCCACCAUAAUGUGCUGUCAUGCCACAGGCACAAGGACAACAGGGCCAAGCGAUCAUGAACUGUGAACACUAACAAGUGUUUUGUCACACUGCUGGAAAGAUGACUAACAUGCUCCAUGUGCGUCCAAGAGUAUUC